Molecule: long non-coding RNA, 291 nt
Organism: Oncorhynchus nerka (sockeye salmon)
Lineage: Eukaryota; Metazoa; Chordata; Actinopteri; Salmoniformes; Salmonidae
Exons: 3
Source: RefSeq, a predicted model, not a curated record
UGUCGCUGAUCCAGGAUCUGCUGAAGGAGAUCCAGGACCUGAAGGAGUCCAGAGACGACCUGAAGAAAGAGGUCAAGAGCCUCCAGAACCAACUCAACCAGCUGAAUAUGAGUGAGCUGGUUGACAGAAUCAACGAAGUGGAACAGUACUGCCACCGACUGGACAACCUGGACUCUGCCACCAAAGAGCUGCAGGACAGAGUUGGGCGUUACCCAGACCCAGAUGAGCUCAUCCAGUGUGUGACCUGGGACAUCAUGCAGACCACCUUGGUUAGCGAGCAACAGAAUCUGC